Molecule: ribosomal RNA, 675 nt
Filed under: uncultured fungus
Lineage: Eukaryota; Fungi
Description: eukaryotic LSU rRNA
Rfam family: 5.8S ribosomal RNA (bases 250-403)
Source: RNAcentral
CUUGGUCAUUUAGAGGAAGUAAAAGUCGUAACAAGGUUUCCGUAGGUGAACCUGCGGAAGGAUCAUUACCGAGAAUAGGGGCUUCGGCCCCGAACCUCCCACCCAAUGCGUACCUUACCACCGUUGCUUUGGCGGGCCCGCGGGUCGAAACCGCCGCCGGCCUUUCGGGGCUUGACGAGCGUCCGCCAGAGUCCACCCAAACCCGUCUGAAUUUGGUGCCGUCUGAGAAGCAAAUUUUUAAUAGCAAAAAACUUUCAACAACGGAUCUCUUGGUUCUGGCAUCGAUGAAGAACGCAGCGAAAUGCGAUAAGUAAUGUGAAUUGCAGAAUUCAGUGAAUCAUCGAAUCUUUGAACGCACCUUGCACCCUUUGGUAUUCCGAAGGGUACACCCGUUUGAGUGUCAUUGUAAUCUCACCACCAUUGGCUUUGUUGUCUUCUGGUCGGUGGACUUGGAUGCUGCCGUGGAUUUCUACGGCUCGUCUGAAAUGCCUGAGUGUACUCUGCUUUGCGGCGUAUUCGGUGUGAUACAUCUUCACCGGAGUUGAUCCUUUUGGGUCGCGUCUGUGAUGUGUGGCUCUAUGCUUCCAAACCGUCUGUAAUGGACAAUGUCUGACAAUUUGACCUCAAAUCGGGUGGGACUACCCGCUGAACUUAAGCAUAUCAAUAAGCGGAGGA